CCCUUAGAUGUCCGGGGCCGCACGCGCGCUACACUGAAGGAAUCAGCGUGGCUUUCUCCCUGACCCGAAAGGGUUGGGAAACCCGUUGAAUCUCCUUCGUGAUAGGGAUUGGGGCUUGAAAUUGUUCCCCAUGAACGAGGAAUUCCCAGUAAGCGCGAGUCAUAAGCUCGCGUUGAUUACGUCCCUGCCCUUUGUACACACCGCCCGUCGCUACUACCGAUUGAACGGUUUAGUGAGGGCCUCGGAUUGGUCUCGGCCCGCUCUUUACCGGGCGGCGCCGUUGGUCGAGAAGACGCUCGAAUUUGAUCGUUUAGAGGAAGUAAAAGUCGUAACA
RNAcentral lists this ribosomal RNA (334 nucleotides) under uncultured eukaryote. RNAcentral's name for it is "partial 18S ribosomal RNA". It matches the Rfam family "Eukaryotic small subunit ribosomal RNA", at positions 1470 to 1796 of the family's 1831-position model. The record is from RNAcentral.